AUCUAUGCUUAACACCAGUCUAUAAUAAUUUGAGCCUAAGAAACCCGGUCUGAUAAUCCGGCUUGGUGUACACCAAACUCUAGGCAAGGGAUAUUCUUGACUAAAAAUACAGCAAAUUAUAUUUGCUUUUCAAAAUUAAGCCCAUGCAAGAAAGGGAGAAACAAUUUUUGGCAUCAAAGUUUCAGAUUAUUCUUGGCUUAAAAGUACAGCAAAGCAGAUUUGUUUAUUAAUGUUCCAUCAUUGUGAUUUCCUAGAAGAUCAGAAUCAACCUUUUCAUCUGCAACUUUUUAUAUAUAUUUUCCAUGAUCAUGGUCCAAAUUGUAUGACUCCAGCAACAAACAAUCAAUAGAAAUGCAAAACUAAAAAUUACCUCUCGACUCACUUAUUUUAUUUCUUCCUGCUCAACAAAUCUUCCUUAAACCAACCAAUUUGUGCCUUUCAUUUGUAUCAAAGAACAUGGCAGAUUUUCUAUUCAGUAUUGCAGAAAAUGUUUUGGGAAAUAUAUGCCCUCUUGCCCACGAAGAAAUAUGUUUGGCAUUGGGUGUAGCGAGCAAUAUGAAAAGGCUUGAUGAGAACUUAUCAGACAUCAAAGCUGUUCUCUGUGAUGCUGAGGAGAAGAAAGCAGGGAACCACGAGCUGCAUAUCUGGCUUGGGAGGCUUAAGGAUUUCCUCUAUGAUGCUGAAGACGUGAUGGAUGAGUUUAAUUAUCAAGGGCUUCGCAAGCAGGUGGUGAAAGAGUACGGAAGCAUAAAAACCAAGGUACGCAGAUUCUUUUCAAGCUCAAAUCCACUUGCAUUCCGUUUCAAAAUAGGUCAUAAGAUUGAGGAGCUUAAGGAGAGACUAGAUGAUAUAGCAGCUCAGAAGUCUAAGUUCCAUCUCACGGACACGGAGCUAGUUACUUAUGGCAUGGGGGGCAUAGAGAAAGGGAGAUGACUGACUCAUUUGUGCGUGCAUCAAAUAUUAUUGGAAGAGAUGCCGAUAAGGAAAAACUCAUGGAGUUUCUGUUGAAAUCAGAUGAUCAAGCAGCAAGUAUAAUCUCUGUUAUCCCUAUUGUUGGAAUUGGGGGGUUGGGAAAGACUACUCUGGCUAAGAUGUUAUAUAAUGAUAAGAGAGUAGAUGCACAUUUUCAAUUGAAAAUGUGGGCGUUUGUCCCUGAGGAUGAAUUUGACAACAAGAAGAUAAUAGUAAAAAUGAUGAAGUCCUUAACUGACCAAAAUAGUAAUCUGAGUGAUUUGGAUACUGAGCAAUUACAAGCUCGCAUUCGAGAUCAAUUAAAUGGAAAGAAAUUUUUACUCGUCUCGGAUGAUGUGUGGAUGGUUGAACGUAUUCGCAUUAUAUGGCUUGAGUUGAAAGAAUUGUUGGAGGUAGCUGCCAUUGGAAGUAAAGUCAUUGUAACAACACGUAAUGAUAGAGUGUCCUAAAUGCUGGGCACUACUGAAGGAUACAAGUUAAAAGGUCUUCCACAAGUGGAUUGUUUAUCUUUGUCGAAAAAAUGGGCGUUCAGAGAAGGAGAAGAGGAGCGCUACCCGAACCUCCUGGCAAUCGGACAGAGGACAUAGUGAAGAAAUGUGGAGGGCUUCCUUUGGCGGUGAGGACAUUAGGGAACCUUCUCUACUCGAGAAACGAAGAACGGCACUGGAAAUCCGAAGAAAUGAUGAGAUAUGGAAAUUAAAAGAGGAGGAAGGGGACAUUUUACCUGCAAUAAGACUAACUUAUGAUCAAAUGCAAUCUCAAUUGAAGCAAUGUUUCGCUAUUUGUUCUGUCUUUCGAAAAGGUAAUGUGUUCAGCAGUUCUGUAUUGGUUCAGUUUUGCAGGUGCAAAGGCCAAACAUAAAACCACUAUCUAUGGAUCUCUUUCUCUUCAGAACUCUUCCCUUUCUCUUAAGUGGCUUCAAUCUACAGACACUGUCGUCCAAUGCUGAGUUGAUAGUUCAUUAAUUUUGAGGGAAGCUUUUGGAAGAGCUUGAUUAUACAUUGAAUGUCUGUUGAAGAAAGUCCCCGUUGUCAACAAAGAGGGAGUUACGCAGAGAUAUGCCUCGAUUUCCAGAAAUCAACCAUCGACUUGCAUGUGUUAGGCAUGACGCCUAGCUAGCAUGGAUUGGGCCCUGUAAUGAUAGAAAGUGAAACAGUGAGAAUGUUGGUUUACAUAUAAGAGAAUAUCUUCGUUGGCCGUUGGGGUUGCUUUGGAGCUUUGGAUUUGAAGCUGCUGGAUUGCUGGGCUACGGCCUACAGAUUUUUGUUGGUGAUUUUAAAGAAAUCCAGAGGAGAUCCUGUGUGUUCAGACCGGUGCUGAGUUUGUUGUCGGCUGAAAUCGAGCUUUCACCAAUAAAGAAAAAUCUGCUGCCCAUUUGAAGGUUCUAGUCCAUUGAUUUUUUCCCUUGAUUUUUAGUAAUAUAGUCCCUUCUAUCUGUUAUGUAGUGGUUACUACAUGUCCCUUCUAUCUGUUCCUUUGAUGUUGUUGCAGUAUCAGCAACCCAAUUUAAGUGCUUUCUUAGCCAACUUCUAUGCAUGAAUAUUAGUAAUUUAUUCCAUGAAAAUUUUGAUUAGUAUCCUUAUUAAGGAAACUGUAAUGAAAAGUUGUGGAAGUGAAUUUUGGAUGGAAA
Tripterygium wilfordii is the source of this 2602-nucleotide long non-coding RNA. RefSeq lists it as uncharacterized. The transcript is spliced from 4 exons. The record is from RefSeq and is a predicted model, not a curated record. NCBI's taxonomy places the organism in Eukaryota, Viridiplantae, Streptophyta, Magnoliopsida, Celastrales, Celastraceae.